RNAcentral lists this ribosomal RNA (255 nucleotides) under uncultured Gardnerella sp. Its description in RNAcentral is "partial 16S ribosomal RNA". It matches the Rfam family "Bacterial small subunit ribosomal RNA", at positions 99 to 354 of the family's 1533-position model. Lineage: Bacteria; Bacillati; Actinomycetota; Actinomycetes; Bifidobacteriales; Bifidobacteriaceae. The record is from RNAcentral.
CGAACGGGUGAGUAAUGCGUGACCAACCUGCCCCAUGCUCCAGAAUAGCUCUUGGAAACGGGUGGUAAUGCUGGAUGCUCCAACUUGACGCAUGUCUUGUUGGGAAAGUGUUUAGUGGCAUGGGAUGGGGUCGCGUCCUAUCAGCUUGUAGGCGGGGUAAUGGCCCACCUAGGCUUCGACGGGUAGCCGGCCUGAGAGGGCGGACGGCCACAUUGGGACUGAGAUACGGCCCAGACUCCUACGGAGGCAGCAGAC